UACAGAGGUGGCAAGCGUUGUUCGGAAUUACUGGGCGUAAAGGGCGCGUAGGCGGCCUUCUAAGUCAGACGUGAAAUCCCCCGGCUUAACCUGGGAACUGCGUCUGAUACUGGGAGGCUUGAGUAUGGGAGAGGGAUGUAGAAUUCCAGGUGUAGCGGUGAAAUGCGCAGAUAUCGGGAGGAACACCGGUGGCGAAGGCGGUUCUCUGGGCCUUACCUGACGCUGAGGAGCGAAAGCGUGGGGAGCGAACAGG
This 253-nucleotide ribosomal RNA is filed under the name uncultured bacterium. RNAcentral describes it as "partial 16S ribosomal RNA". It matches the Rfam family "Bacterial small subunit ribosomal RNA", at positions 524 to 776 of the family's 1533-position model. The record is from RNAcentral.